GACUUCUGGUUUAAUGCACCUGGCCCGCGGCCCACAAGGCCUGUGAGUGCCGGCGCGCGUUUACCAUCCUUCCAGCAACGGCUACCCUUAACUGGGCGGCUGGAAGUGUUUAAAGCAGGCGUUUGCUCUGAAUACAUUAGCAUGGAAUAAUAAUCUAGGACUUCGGUUCUAUUUUGUUGGUUUCUAUAACUGAAGUAAUGAUUGAUAGGGAUAGUUGGGGGUGCUAGUAUUGGCCGGUCAGAGGUGAAAUUCUUGGAUUCGGUCAAGACUAACUUAUGCGAAAGCAUU
Molecule: ribosomal RNA, 288 nt
Filed under: uncultured Cercozoa
Lineage: Eukaryota; Cercozoa
Description: partial 18S ribosomal RNA
Rfam family: Eukaryotic small subunit ribosomal RNA (bases 105-288)
Source: RNAcentral